GAUGAACGCUGGCGGCGUGCUUAACACAUGCAAGUCGAACGAUGAAGCCCAGCUUGCUGGGUGGAUUAGUGGCGAACGGGUGAGUAACACGUGAGUAACCUGCCCUUGACUCUGGGAUAAGCCCGGGAAACUGGGUCUAAUACCGGAUAGGAGCGCCUGUCGCAUGACGGGUGUUGGAAAGAUUUUUCGGUCAUGGAUGGACUCGCGGCCUAUCAGCUUGUUGGUGAGGUAAUGGCUCACCAAGGCGACGACGGGUAGCCGGCCUGAGAGGGCGACCGGCCACACUGGGACUGAGACACGGCCCAGACUCCUACGGGAGGCAGCAGUGGGGAAUAUUGCACAAUGGGCGGAAGCCUGAUGCAGCGACGCCGCGUGAGGGAUGACGGCCUUCGGGUUGUAAACC
This 403-nucleotide ribosomal RNA is filed under the name Micrococcus sp. oral taxon F54. RNAcentral describes it as "bacterial SSU rRNA". It matches the Rfam family "Bacterial small subunit ribosomal RNA", at positions 28 to 431 of the family's 1533-position model. The record is from RNAcentral. Lineage: Bacteria; Bacillati; Actinomycetota; Actinomycetes; Micrococcales; Micrococcaceae.